GUUGAGACAUUCACAAUACACACAGGACCACCAGGCAAUUUCAGAAGGCUUUAAGCAUCUGCCCAUACAGAGUAACAUCAAAUCACUUUGGAAGGCUUCAACAUUUGUGGAGCAAAGCUGCAUAAAUGCAGAAGGAUGCAUACUGCCUCACACCUUUCUUCAGAUUCCAGCAAAUUAAGCACAGCAGCACAAACAGCAGCAGGGAGAAGGAAAUGCUCUGCAAAAGAGCUUCCCUGUUUGCUGCUGCACUACAGCCUUGGCUGCUCAUGGAGAUUUGAACAGGGAGAGAUCCCUUGGUGCCAUCCUCCCUCCUCCAGGCACAGCUAAAGCCAGUUUGAAAAGGUUGCUGUGGCUGUCCCUGGUCCACUUGGGGCUAGGCUUCACAAAGCCAUUGCCAGUUUGGUCUGGUAACUGUCUCUGCACCCCACUGAGAAGGCAGUGCCACUGUCAGAUACUGGAGCACUAGCUUAAGUGGCACUACAGACAAAUUUUGGCUGGUGACAGAAGAGAUGGCUGAAAGCCAGCUGACAGGGAAGAACAGUAUCAAUCUCUGUACUGGGGGAAUCCUCUGAAAAUGCUACUGAAGCAAACAGCAACUGCUAGUGGCACAGAGGCAAACACGAUACGAGUGAUCCUGCUCUCAUGGAGAAGAGAAAAAGGCAAACGGCUGAACUGAAGUAAUCAACAUGAACUUGAACCAUGGCACAGGGCAAACAUGUGGCACGCCGUAUGGAAACUCAGAACAAAACAGAAAGCUUGGAACAAAAUGAAAUUAAAAAUCUGCUUCUAUUUCAAAUUA
Passer domesticus (house sparrow) is the source of this 799-nucleotide long non-coding RNA. RefSeq lists it as uncharacterized. The transcript is spliced from 3 exons. The record is from RefSeq and is a predicted model, not a curated record. Lineage: Eukaryota; Metazoa; Chordata; Aves; Passeriformes; Passeridae.